RNAcentral lists this long non-coding RNA (12856 nucleotides) under Medicago truncatula (barrel medic). RNAcentral's name for it is "long non-coding RNA (MTRU_LNC002729)". Lineage: Eukaryota; Viridiplantae; Streptophyta; Magnoliopsida; Fabales; Fabaceae. The record is from RNAcentral.
UUGGGUCAAUUUUUAUAGAUACAUAUGCAUUAAAAGUUAUUUUUCUAAACCUCAUUACAAGUAUGGCUUGCAGAAAUUAAUGUCUCUUUUGCUACUUCUGUAGACAUAUUGUGGUUUCUAUUCCUUAUUUGAUUUUUAAUACUUGCCACAGGGUAAAAGUCAUAGUUUUGAUUUACCUGUAAAGAAAAGAAGCGAUAUCUGUACAAUAAUGUAUACUAGCGGAACUACUGGUGACCCCAAGGGGGUAUUGAUAUCCAAUGAGAGUAUUAUUACCCUCUUAGCUGGGGUGAAGCGACUAUUGGAGAGUGUCAAUGAAAAAGUAAGUAUUUAUCUUUUAUAUUUCACUUAAUUUAUGCACUGAACACUCCCUAUGCACAAUUUCUUUUCAUUUAAUUUUUGCAUAUUAUAUUUCUAAUUUCAAAGCUCUGGAUAUAGUUUUUUUUUUCCGGGGUUUAAGAUACUAUAUGCUUAAGUGUCCUUUCUUUGACUUACAAAAUCUCCCCUCUUUUUUCUUUCUUUACAGUUGACUGAGAAGGAUGUGUACUUAUCAUACCUUCCUCUCGCACACAUCUUUGAUAGGGUCAUUGAAGAGACAUUUAUAUGGCAUGGUGGUUCAAUAGGCUUCUGGCGCGGGGUGAGUAUAUGUACCAAACUUUUUGUUACUGAAUUAUAAUUCAUAGUGAUAAUUGAACUUUAAAUUUAAUUUUAUCACCCCAACAAGUCAAAAAUUGGAACUUUUUUGGAUUUGAAUAUGACCUUGUCCAUCAUUUGCACAAUGGCUGCAGGAUGUUAAACUAUUAAUUGAAGAUCUCGGGGAGCUAAAACCAACUAUUUUCUGUGCGGUACCCCGUGUACUUGAUAGAGUGUACUCUGGUAUGCUCUUCUGAUUGUUGUAUGACUGUUUUACCUUUGUAAAUCAUUUCUUGAUAAUUGGAGUGGGAUUUUUCCCCCACAUUUCUUACCGAUUUUUCUGAGCUGCCACCCCUUUUCCCAGCAAGAAAAUAAGUAUAUUAAGAUUCUCAACUUCGAUAUGCAGGUUUGACACAGAAAAUUUCUUCUGGAGGCUUCCUGAAGAAGACAUUAUUCAACUUUGCUUAUUCAUAGUAAGUACUAAUGAACUGUCAUGGGUCCUCUAUAAGAUAUUAGGAAACUGUGAGCGUUCCUUUGUCAAAUCACGCAGAAAUUAUCUUUUAGAUUGGUGUUAAUUUUCUUAAUUAGGUUGUUAAAUUUAACUAUUGUUCUUCCCAGUAAGCAUUGCAAUAUUCUAAAUAACAUAAGCUCUGAGAAUUUAUCGCAGUAAGUUGAAUAACAUGAAGAAAGGACAAAACCAUGCAGUAGCAUCUCCACUUCUUGACAAAAUUGUGUUCGAUAAGGUAGUAAAGUUUACAAAUAUUAAUUAAUUACCAGCCGCAGUUUGACAGCAAUGUAUUUUCUCUUUUGGCUGAUCUGGUUUUGCAAUUUUAUUAGGUGAAGCAAGGUUUAGGGGGUAGUGUACGUCUUAUUCUGUCUGGAGCAGCACCUCUAUCCUUGCAUGUGGAAAGUUACCUACGUGUGGUGACUUGUGCUCAUGUCCUACAAGGAUAUGGUAUGCAAAAAGCACAUAGAUAUAUAGCUGAAUAUUUUAUAUGUGUUUAGCCAAGUCUAGAUUCGUAUUUCAAUUGCUAAAUAUAUGGAUAUAGACUGUUGAUUAAUUUGAGAUGAGCUGUGACAAUUAGCGAAUUAAUUUUAGUUUUAAUGCAUGUUUAUAGAAAAAUAAAUAGUCUAACUGAAAUCUAUGUGGAAAUUAUUCUGAUGUUUCUUCACUCCAAUGCAGCAUAUGUAAUAAUGUAGGUAUCAGCACAUGUACCAUGGACUUCACUAAUGUGUCUUUGUUGAAAUGAAAACAGGUCUGACUGAAACCUGUGCGGGAACCUUUGUCUCAUUACCAAAUGAACUAGAUAUGCUUGGAACAGUGGGUCCUCCUGUACCAAAUGUGGAUGCGUGCCUGGAAUCUGUUCCUGAAAUGGGUUACGAUGCCCUUGCAAGCACGCCAAGAGGAGAAAUUUGUGUAAAGGGAGAUACCUUGUUUUCGGGGUACUACAAACGCGAAGAUCUCACAAAAGAGGUUCUGGUUGAUGGAUGGUUCCAUACAGGUUAUUGGUGUUUUCCAAAAUUGAACUAUAUAGAUACUAUUUAAAUUGGCUGUUGGAUCACAUUUUGAAGUUUAUAUUCUUUUAAAUUGUGUGAUUUAUUCAACAGGGGACAUUGGAGAGUGGCAACCUAAUGGAAGUAUGAAGAUUAUUGAUCGGAAGAAGAAUAUAUUCAAGCUUUCCCAAGGAGAAUAUGUUGCCGUUGAAAACCUGGAGAAUAUUUAUAGCCAAGUUCCUUCUGUUGAAUCUGUAUGUCUUGAGAGCCCUUCAUAUGGUUUUAGUGUCCUAGCUUGUAGUGAAAUUAUUCCCCAUAUAAAGUUGAAAAAAAUAUCUUUUUACUCUUUCUACUUGAAUUAAAUUUAUUGGUUCAUUAUAGAAUUAUAGAAACCGUGCCCUUGAUGGGCUUGGGACAAAUGGGGCCAAUCUUGAGCAGCUAAUAUUUUUAGCUCAGUUUGAUAAUUUUUAAUUACGGAAUUCAAAAUAUAAGCAAGCUUUAGACCGAUCAUCAGUUAAUGCAGAGACACCAAUCUCUCUUGCCUAUAAUCCAAAUUGCAUUCUUAUUUCUUGCUGGACAUAUAGUUCUAUAACUGUACUGAGCUUUAAAUUUUCACCAGCAGCAUGUGUACGUUGCCCAUAGUCCUAUGCGUUGUUGUGCACAGAUUCUGGUCCAUAUUGGUAUACUUUACAUUAGUAUCCGCAUUCUAUAGUUCAUUAUGAUCGUUUGUCUAAUAGAUAGGACUGUUCUUGUUGCAUUAGUAGCUGUACAAUUAUUCAUUGUGACAUCCAUAUGUAUCAGCUCAUAAACACAAAAAUAGUCUACUAUUAGCUUCAUUUCAUGAGUUAAAAUCGUUCUGUUCCAUGCUGAUUUGAACUUUUAUUCCUCCUGUCUCAGAUAUGGGUUUACGGAAACAGUUUUGAGGCCUUCCUUGUUGCUGUUGUUAACCCCAGCAAACCAGCACUUGAACAUUGGGCAGAAGAAAAUGGUAUAUCCGUGGACUUCAAUUCUCUCUGUGGAGAUUCUAGGGCAAAAGGUUACAUACUUGAUGAGCUCUCAAAGAUUGGAAAGGAAAAGAAGGUUCUAUCUAAUUUAAAUUUCUUAUUUUUGUUCUAAUUUGUUAUGUAUGGAGUGUGUGUAUGCAUAUAUCAUGACGAUAAAAUUUCACAUUUUUAAAGGGGGUUUUCUACAAAUAUCAGAACUAUUAAUAAUUUCCACACAACAUACUUUUUUAGAAAGUAGCCUUUUCAACGUAAUAUUAAAUGCCAACCAUCUAAUCUUAUAUUUUUAGUUUCAAAUGCUAGUAAAAAAAUUUGUACUAAUAUUUAACACAAUAUUUGCAUAGUUAACUAAGAUUCAAUGAUUGGAUGGCCCAAAAUAUUUUUUCAGAGGAUUUUUUAAGUGGUGUGUGUAUGGUCUUAUGUUUGCACCAAUUGAUUCUAUUCUACAUGCAUACCUGUUUGCAUGCAUAAGUACAUGUCCUGAAAUUUUAUGCGAUGAUGGAUAUGUUUUUGACAGUUGAAAGGAUUUGAGUUCAUAAAAGCAGUCCAUCUUGACCCAGUUCCAUUUGAUAUGGAACGUGACCUUAUCACUCCAACAUAUAAGAAGAAGAGGCCCCAGUUGCUUAAAUACUAUCAGGUAAAAGUUGUCAAAUUCUCAGGAUUUCAUUUCUGCUUCAAAAAUUAUUUCUGCUUUAUUAUUAUUGGAAUGGAUAGAAUGAGCUGUCUUUGUGUAUAUAACCUUUUUUUUCUUCCGGAUAUUUUCGUUCGACUGAGCAUAUAUAACUGAACACAGGUGUAGAAAUCUCAUCUGAUUGAGUUGACCAAGAGUCAGUUUUUAGAUGUCAUCUGCACCCAUGUUAUUAGAUUAGAUGUGAAUCAUAGUGCAACUGAUGUGCCCUGUUUCACUAUUAAUAUCAUAUUAGUUAUGAAUCAGUUACAUUACAGUUCAGUUAAAGUAGUCACUUCACUUACACUUGGCUUGUACAAGUACCUGUUCACAUAAGAAAGUUUGUUUCUUCUCGUAUUUCAUGUAUAGGUGUAGUUAACUAGUUAUGUGCCAAACAGACUUGAAACUGAACACUCGACAUGGUAGCUGAAUCCUAAGUAAUUUGGAAUACCUAACGUGAAUGUGUAAGUAAACGAGUAAAAUGUUUACAAGUGAUUAUCCUCUAAUUAAUAGUUGUUAGCAUACAAUUCUAUUUCCACUUCACUUUCAAUUGCAAUUUUCCAUUGCACUUUUAACGUUUCAAAGCCUGUUUUAAGGACUUAAUAAUUUCUGUAUUCUGAAAGCACUGACUGCUAUUUUAUUUGUGGCACAGAAUGUUAUUGAUGACAUGUACAAAAGUGGAAAUAAACCCCGUGCCUGAGAGAUGCUUUUGGAGUUGGUGCCAUGCCAUGUAGAUAAUUCAUUUUCUGCAUGUGAUUGUGCUUGCCUUUGUUCAUUUAUUAUUUCCUUUUGGUUAUUGUCUGUACAUAUGAUUAUGAAGAGACGGCAGAUGAUCUGCCUCACUCAACCGUGAAAGAUACGAUAAUACAAAGUUUAAACAAAUUGUUUUCUUCACCUCUAGCAAUAUUCGUUGCAAACUUUUGUUAGGAAAAUAAAAUAUUAUUCCAUUCCUUAUCAAAAUUAACAGUGGUGUAGUUCUUGUUUUUUACUUAGUGAUGUUUUCAAAGAUUUAUACAAUAAGCAGUGAAUGUGAAUUAUAACUGUUUGUUUUAAUGUUUAUAAUUGAUUGGUUGGACACUCCUUACUCUUUCUUGUUAGUUCUUCUGAAAGCAGUUCCAGAAUCCACCAUUCAUAUAAUGGAGAAUGUGUUUUUAAAGCUAGAGUAUCUCAAUCAUCUUAUAAUGGCUGUGGAGUUGUAUUCAGUGCAGUGAUAAUUUUUCUCAUGUUACUCAUUUGUGGGAUUUUCUCUUUUGUGGUAACACGAAGUGCCUCACGGACCAUGGUGACGUAUUAAACAGGGCACAGGACAAAUCAUCUAUUAGGGAAUAAAUUGGGAACUACAACACCUUCAUUUGAUAUUUUACAAUUACAUAAAUGGUAUUGUAGCUUCUUUUGAUACAUGAGAGUUUGGUGGAUGUAAAAAGAGAUAAUAAGGGACGUUAAUAAGAAAAUAAAGAAAUCUACAACUCGAGAGCUGGAAGCAAACACUCAAAAAGCAGAUUUUUAAAGCUGGCACCUUCACGUGUAGCUGUGUUGAUGGAAUCAUCAUUCAUUAUCCAUCGUACACGAGCUUAGAUUGAGAUUUUGUAUCACUUUAACGUUGCUAAGAAGAAUAUAAGAAAACAAGAUCGGGAUACACCAAUAAAGGAUCGAAAAUUUAAGGUUUUUGCGUUUAUUACGAAAUGUGAACCCUGUGGUAGUGUGGCUAUGUUCCAGAGUUGGAUUUUGGAGACAAAUGGAGAAAGAGUUAAUUUACAUUUUUUAACUGUUAUUUUUCUUUUACCCCGACAAGCUUAAGGUGACAAUGGAGUAAAUACAAUCAUGAAUGCGAUGAAAAAAGUUUCGAGGAACAAGUUAACCCAAAAACACAACCUGACUCUGAACUCCAACAGUUACACAGCUAGGACACAUAAAAAAACAUGAAAUUAAACAUUACCAAGACAGCCAAAAAAAAAAAAAAAAAAAAAAAACAUGAAUUUAAAUACAACCCCAUAUACCCAAAAAUCAAAAUUUGAAAUUCAAAAAUUGGAAAAAAGAAAAGGGGGAAGAAUGAAAAUCAACAGAAAAAGAACCUUCUUGGAAGCGCGAGUGAGAUUUUGUUGUUGAACCGUUCGUUUCAUAAACACAAGCUUCCAACAAUUUCGUAUUCUUCACAAAGGUAUAAUUAGUGUGAAAUUCACAAAAUUGGUUUGUGUUUUGUUUCUUAUGAGCGGAAUCGGGAAGGGAUGGUUUCGUCUAGUUCUUAAUGAAGGUCAAAGUGUAAAAUGAGGAUAGAUCUACUAGAAGAAAUGAAGAAUACAUAUACAUAUUCAUCAUUUUUUAAACCCAUAACAAUUAAUCAUGAAUAGAUGAAGGUUUAGUUUUUUUUUUUUUUUUUUUUUUUGGUUGGAUCGGAAGAGAUGAAGAUAUAAUGAUUGAUAUGAAGGAUGAAGAUGAAGAAAUGAAAGUUUAUUUUUUAUUUUUUUCAUUUAUUUAAUUUAGAAAAUAAUUACAUGACUAUUUUAUUUUAUUUUAAUUCAAUAAUUACACAUAUGGCUUGCCAUGCAAGUGUUAACUUGGUCAAAUUGACCAAAAAGGCUAAUAUGGUAAAUGAUGCUAAUUCAUAGAGGACUAAAUUUGUUAGUUUUUUUUUUUUUUAAUAAGAGUCAAAAUUACAACAUUUAAAAUGUUAAGAGGCCAAAAGUACACUUAAACUAAAACAAAUAUCUACAUUGUUAUUUAUAGUACAAUCAAUUUUAAGUCAAAACAAAACCUAUGACCGACCGACCAAUCGAAAAGGCAGUGACAAUACACAAUAAUUUGGAUAAAAAGACAACCAAUCAGAUAUAUUCUCUCAAGAGAAAAGAAAAAUCCAUUAGAUAUAUUUAGGGAUGUAAAUGAAUAUCCAUAGAUGUGUAGAUAGUGUGAUAUCCGUGUACGUUCUGUUGGACAAAUAUAAAAUCCGCGCCCUAUCCAUACCCACGCAAAUAUCCGUUUAGCGGGUAAUCCAUGGAUUUUGAGGUAUAUGCGGGUUUAUACAGAUAUCCAUGGAUAACAUUUAUUAAAAAAAAAAAACUUGUUAAUUUUUUUUAGCUAGAAUUUAAAAACAAAAGUUCAUCACAUGCAUUUUCUUUUCUUUUUAGCAAAACAUAAUAUCCGUACAUCAUAAUAACACAAAGAUCAUUGACUCAACAAAAACAUAAUUAACGUUCCUUAUAUUUAAUAAAAAUAAAGUUCUUUGAUCUGAAAAAUUAAAUAAAGCUUAUCAUAUUCAACAAAAACAAAGCUUCUUGCUUCAACAAUCCCGACCACUUUCCCUUCAUUUUAAAGGAGCGUAAUACAUACUUGAACAGUCGUGCAAUAACUAAUAACAACUCACUAACGAAGUUUGUUGCUUAGGAAUUUGAAUGAUAUUAAAGUUAUUUAUAAAAUUUACUCGAUUUAAUAGCGGGAUAGAUAUCCCCGGAUGCGGGUACCAUUAAAUCUGCAUCCGUAUCCAUUAAUUAGUGGGUAGUUUAUCCAUGGAUAUCCGUUAAAGUAUCCACUCCAUAUCCGUGACGGAUUUUAUCCAUGAAUAUUUACGGGUGCGGAUUUUUUUUUCAUCCCUCAGGACAUUUGUUUGUUUGUUUGUGUUGUAUUAAACAUUUUUCAAUUUACCAAAAAGAAGAGGACAACAUUUUAGUUUUACUCACUUGCAUGAGUCUUUUUUCAAAGUGACUUAGAUCGAGAGUUGAGAAUACAUGGCAUAGACUGUGAUAGACACAAUUUAAAAAAAUCAAUAUGUCAACUUUGAUUAAGACUCAAUUUUAACCAGCAAUUACGCUGAGCGCUCAUAUUUCUUCUCUCAUUUUCCAUAAUAAUACCUUUCUCUCUCCUUUUCUUACUUUUUCCUAUGCAUGCAUCCACCGCUAAAACGUGUUCUAGUGGGAGAACUGUUCUCUACAGUGUCAUCCACCUUAUUGAUCUCCAAUGCAUACAACAUAAGCACAUGUUCUUGUAUUCUAAGAACACUAAGAAAUAACAUUUAAAAUUUCUCAUUCUCCGCUUAACUUAACCAUUUUUCUCAUCGCGAUCAUCGUUGAGCCAUGGCGCAGAAAAGAUUCAUCAUUGAGGUUGAAAAAGCGAAGGAAGCAACGGAAGAUAAACCUUCAAGAGGACCUGCGUAUCGUAGCAUCUUCGCUAAAGAUGGUUUUCCUCCUCCUAUUCUUGGUCUUGAUAGUUGCUGGGAUGUUUUUCGGUUAGUUUUUCAUCUUUAUUUCGAUGCAAAUCUAUAUUCAUUUCAUCAAUUUUAUGUGAAUUUGAUAGUGUGAUGACUUGAGUUGAAGUUAUUCGUUCCUUAUUUAAUCUUCAUUUCAUUUUUCUUUCUAUGUACAUAAUUAGUAGAUUGAGUAAGACUAGCUACACUCUCUCUUUAAUACUAUUGUGUGAGUCUACACUUUGAAAAUUGAACUAGAUCAUAUUCUGUUUAUUUAAAUUAUUUUAAUUUUCGUUGAAUUUUUAUGCUAAUUUGCAAAUCAUAGCUCUCUGAUCUGAAUCAUCAUAAUAUCAUAACUAGUUGUAACAUUCAGAGUGAGUAAAUCAUAUUUUGUUAUAUUUGGUUUCUCAAAUUUUCUUUCUAACAUUGGAGAAAUAGUGUUUACUAAUCUUUUAUGUGUGUGCGCGCGCAUAGAGGACUUGAAUAUUUGAUUUAAAGUUCGAUUGUUAUAGUUUUUUUAAGAAAAAAAAAUCACUUUUAAGGUGUUGCAUCGUUUGUUACCACUUUUUAAUAAAAUCAGAAUCUAAAAACAGUUUCUUAAUAAGAAACUGUUAAGAGCAGUUUCUAGAAAAAAUAGAUUUUUUUUAGUGGAGAGAGAAAAUAUGGUUUAAAAUAUUAAAUUAAUUUUGUAACAAAAAAUCUCUUUUAUAAGUUUGUAUCCAAACAAACUAAAUUAUUUGUUUAUACGGUAAACAAACAAACGUAAAAUAGAUUCUGAUUUUUCAUAAAAUCUCUAAAAUAUAAUCUCUAAAUUAUUUUAUGUCAAAAUCACUUUUAUUUUAAUCCGUAACAAACCAGCCUUUAAUUUUGGCUCGAUUUUGGACUAAGUAUAAGUCAUGUAUUACUUCAGUUUAAGUUAAUGUUAAAAGAAAAUAAGUGUUGUAUGUGCAGAUCGCGACAAAUAGAGGUUCUGUUAUAACGUCGUAUAGCCGCUGUUUGACAAGAUUUUGUAAUAAUAAAUAGCUUAUCAUGGAACAAUACCUAUUUCUUCAAAUUCUGCUAUACUAUAGUUUUGCUUUUUAACAACACUAGCAAAAAUUUGGACCUGUAUUGAUAAGAAAUUAGUCGUUUCAGUUCUAAUUGUAUCAGUGCUUUUACAGAUUGUCUGUUGAGAAAUAUCCAAAUAAUCCUAUGCUUGGUAGCCGAGAGAUUGUGGACGGGAAGGUAAAGUAUUGGUUACUGUAUAAAUCUUUAAUUUUUUAUUUUUGGAAAUUUUCAUGCCAUAGCUUGACUGGUCAUGGAUUUUGACUUAUUUAAAUGCUCGCAUGUUAUUAUUACACUUAACAGCAUGGCAAGUACAAGUGGCAAACAUACAAAGAAGUAUAUGACAUGGUGAUCAAAGUCGGAAAUUCUAUCCGCAGCUGUGGUUAUGGAGAAGUAAGUCUUCUGUCUCUUCUCUUGAUUACCAGAAAAUGAAACCUUGUUUUGUUUUUGGUUAUUUUAAUAGCAUUUUCUUCUUUGUAUGUUUUUCAAAUUCUUGGAUUCUCUGUACAUGUUGGGUUGUUCAUUAUUUAAUAUCUACAAUCAGCAUUGACGUGCAAUGUUAAAAUUGUGUGGUUUCAUGCAAUUGGUAGCUUCAGAUACCUCUUAUUUUAUUUCUUUGAACAUUUAUUAUUGAUAAUGUUACUAUCUGCAUCAUAAAUAGUUCAAUAGUUAUUCACUUACCAAGAACAUGUUCAUGUGAGUUCAAUUGCUUAACUCAUUGUCACAGAUUUUUCUGAUGAACUUAAGCUGACAAAUUUGCCUAAUAUGAUUUUGACAUUUCACUUUUGCAUAUACUAAUUAUUUAUAUUGAUUAGUUUUUUUGAGCUUAAUUCGUAUAUUUCUGGUUUGCAGGGUGUAAAAUGUGGUAUUUAUGGUGCCAAUUCUGCAGAGUGGAUUAUGAGCAUGGAGGUACAUUUUAUUUUGAAUUUCUUUCGUCUUGGUUUUCUUUUAAAUUUUUCCAAUUCUAAACCGUUUUUUUUCCCCAAUCUUUCUCUUGCCGCCUGAUUGACUGAUGCCUCCCAUUGAAGGUCUUAUUUUGUGGUUUCAAUCCCUUACAUGGCAGCACGAAAUUAGGGAAAAGUUCCUUAUUGUGUGAUCCAGCCCAGCCCAUCUGUGAGGCAUUGUGAUUUUUUCUUCCAAAUAUUGAGUCAGUUCAACGGACCCCAAGAGUCGAGACGUCAUCCAUGUUAUGCACUCUCAUUUGGAACCUUAUUUCCGAUUUAAAUCCCCCAAAAUGUAUCCUAAGAGUUGUUCAUCUUGAACGACUCCAUCUUGCACUUCGAAGUUCUACACAUGCUCCUCCACUGAGUCCGUCCGAUCCAAUGUGUCCAACUUUUUCCCUCUUGUUUCUCCCUAAACCUUCUAAUCAAAGUCAUUGUAGAGGCUUUGCAACCAGUUAUAGGCUUUAAUUGAGCAAAAACUGAAAUUGAUUGUUGUCGCGCUUCCCAUUUUCUAGAUAUUAAUUUGUAAGGCAACUGCAGUUUCGCUGCCAAACUUUGCACCUCAAAGAUUUUCUCCAACUCUGCAAUCAACUUUCCUUCUCCAAGGCUCCAACUUUGUCCACACCUUCCCGGAUCCGAUUUGUACUCUUCUAACCUCCUUUUCAUUUACCUAUCCUAUUAACCCAUUCCAACACAAUACAUCUGUUUUUCAACUGUCCUUCCCUUACCUCUCCUAGAAUACACUUUUAAUGCCCUCUCUCCUUAAUACAAUACAUUCACUCUGUUGCAGAUUAUGGUAAUAUUUGUUUUUUUUUUUUUUGGUUUUAUACCCGUUCUUAUUUAUUUCUUUGUCUCCUAUGUUUUCUUUUGGUUUUUAUUGUCUGUCAGUAGUCCUUGUUGAAUAUAAAGGGCAAUAAGUUGUUUCUUGAUUGAAACUCUGUUUCAUCUUUUGAAUGUCUACUUUCUACAGUGUUCUGCUUCUAUUAUUUAUUGCUCUUGUGCUUUCGCAGUGCUGUUAGUGGACAUCCCUGGUCGCCUUGUUAUAGUAUUCCUUUUACUAGCUUCUUCCACUCGAUUGUUAUAAAGUUUUAAAUAUUCAAAUAAUUGCAGGCUUGCAAUGCUCAUGGACUUCAUUGUGUUCCUUUAUAUGAUACCUUAGGUAUGUGUAAACGUUUAGCAUGUUUGUACACAGUGAUGGUGCUUUGUCCGCAAUUAGCAAUUGAAUUUUGGUUUCCAAACCUGUUGUACAUGAGAUUUUACACUUUGAUGUUAUUAGAAAAGUUGCAACGUUUUUGUCAAUAUGGCAUUUUUUGCUGACUUUCACCCAAGCUCACCAAUUUAUGCGAAAAACUUACCUGUACUAUUAACAAAGUUCCUUAUAUUUUGAUAAAAAAAAUAUGCAAGUUCUAAAUUCACACAUUAUUAAGAACUUUGAUGUCUAUCUGGCAUAUUUUUGUUUUUAUCCCUUGUGAUUUUAUAAAAAAAAAAAGUGAUUUCAUUGAUCAAUUCUUUGAAAAUCUUACCUACUUUAUGAGCAAAGUUUUUUUUUUUUAUUGCUGAAAAAUUACUAAACCUUCACCGAAAUUUGUCAGUUGCCUAAAAUUGUGAUAAACUAUCUCACAGCAAUAAUAACUUGUUUGAAAUUUAUUACAGUACUAUGCAGGAAAUUAGUGGGACUCACACUUUGGAAAUGAGUUAUAAAUAAAGUGGUGGGACCCAUGUGGAUUUGACCCGAUAAAAUGUGGGUGUUAAAAGAGUGUUUUUAGCAUUUAAUACUGGUUGAAUGUCCCAUAGUCUAGAUAUUAAUCAGUAUUUUGGUAGGUUAUUUUUCCACUUCGCCGAAAAUAAAUGCCAUUCUAAUAUUUUCAAAUUCAGUUUUCUAAUUUUGAAUUUCCAAUUAUCACUGGUUUUGACACUCUCAAACAUAUAUGACUUAGGUUCUGGGGCCAUAGAAUUUAUUAUAUGCCAUGCAGAGGUCUCAAUUGCAUUUGCAGAAGAAAAGAAGAUACCUGAGGUUCAUCUAUUGAAAUAAUCUAUUUCUUAGUAGUUUAUUUUUGGGAAGGAUCAGAGAGUUGAAUACACUUUUCUUUGAACAGUCUGUCUGAUCCCUAUCUUUAUUUUAAAAACUUUUCAGCUAUUGAAGACAUUUCCAAAUGCAACCAAAUAUCUCAAGAGUAAGUGUUUUUUAUUAUCUUCUUUCUUUGCUAAAAUACAUGUGCUUUAGAGAGAAGCAAUGACUUUUAUGUUUCUAUACAGCAAUUGUGAGCUUCGGAAAGGUUACCCCUGAACAAAAGCAAGAAGUUGAAAAGUUCGGACGGGCAAUAUAUUCAUGGACUGAAUUUUUACAAUUGGUGAGUUAUUCAUUUCAUGUAUUAUUACUCGUUCUACUCUUACUUGAAAAUUGGACAUGAAAGCUGCUCCAUGUAUAAUCAAUUGGCAUUGCCUGCAAUUGCUGAGCCCCUUUGCAGCAUAAAUAGUUGGUUGAGUUGUAUCACUAUCUUGGUCCACCGGCAGUUAGUCUAAGUAAUAGCGGAAUGUGUGGAAAGAAAUAAGUUAACAUAAUUGUUAGUUGUUACGCAAUUCAAGUAAGAAAAAUAAGGAUGAUAUCAGGUCAAUGGAAACUAAUGCAUUGUUUGAAUAGUUGACUUGGGUCAAUUUUUGUAGAUACAUAUGCAUUAGAAGUUAUUUUUCUAAACCUCAUUACAAGUAUGGCUAGCAGAAAUUAAUGUCUCUUUUGCUACUUCUAUAAACAUAUUGUGGUUUCCAUUCCUAAUUUGACUUUUAAUACUUGCCACAGGGUGAAAGUCAGAGUUUUGAUUUACCUGUAAAGAAAAGAAGCGAUAUUUGUACAAUAAUGUAUACUAGCGGAACUACUGGUGACCCCAAGGGAGUAUUGAUAUCCAAU